Molecule: ribosomal RNA, 753 nt
Filed under: Peniophora tamaricicola
Lineage: Eukaryota; Fungi; Basidiomycota; Agaricomycetes; Russulales; Peniophoraceae
Description: LSU rRNA
Rfam family: Eukaryotic large subunit ribosomal RNA
Source: RNAcentral
UUGACCUCAAAUCAGGCGGGACUACCCGCUGAACUUAAGCAUAUCAAUAAGCGGAGGAAAAGAAACUAACAAGGAUUCCCCUAGUAACUGCGAGUGAAGCGGGAUGAGCUCAAAUUUAAAAUCUGGCGUCUUCGGCGUCCGAGUUGUAAUUUAGAGAAGCGUUUUCCGCGCCGGACCGUGUACAAGUCUCCUGGAACGGAGCGUCAUAGAGGGUGAGAAUCCCGUCUUUGACACGGACCCCCGGUGCUCUGUGAUACGCUCUCGAAGAGUCGAGUUGUUUGGGAAUGCAGCUCAAAAUGGGUGGUGAACUCCAUCUAAAGCUAAAUAUUGGCGAGAGACCGAUAGCGAACAAGUACCGUGAGGGAAAGAUGAAAAGCACUUUGGAAAGAGAGUGAAACAGUACGUGAAAUUGUUGAAAGGGAAACGCUUGAAGUCAGUCGCGUCCGCCAGGAUUCAGCCUCACGGUGUACUUUCUGGUGGACGGGCCAGCAUCACUUUCAAUCAUCGGAAAAGGUCGAGGGGAAUGUGGCACCUUCGGGUGUGUUAUAGCCCCUUGUCGUAUACGGUGACUGGGAGUGAGGACCGCCUUUUGUAGGAUGCUGGCGUAAUGGCUUUAAACGACCCGUCUUGAAACACGGACCAAGGAGUCUAACAUGCCCGCGAGUGUUCGGGUGGAAAACCCGUGCGCGUAAUGAAAGUGAAAGUUGGGAAGGCUGUCGCGGCCUGCACCGACGCCCGGACUUGAGAUUUAUC